ACUCCUGCGGGAGGCAGCAGUGGGGAAUUUUGGACAAUGGGCGAAAGCCUGAUCCAGCAAUGCCGCGUGAGUGAAGAAGGCCUUCGGGUUGUAAAGCUCUUUUGUCAGGGAAAAAACGGUGAGAGCUAAUAUCUCUUGCUAAUGACGGUACCUGAAGAAUAAGCACCGGCUAACUACGUGCCAGCAGCCGCGGUAAUACGUAGGGUGCAAGCGUUAAUCGGAAUUACUGGGCGUAAAGCGUGCGCAGGCGGUUUUGUAAGUCUGAUGUGAAAUCCCCGGGCUCAACCUGGGAAUUGCAUUGGAGACUGCAAGGCUAGAAUCUGGCAGAGGGGGGUAGAAUUCCACGUGUAGCAGUGAAAUGCGUAGAUAUGUGGAGGAACACCGAUGGCGAAGGCAGCCCCCUGGGUCAAGAUUGACGCUCAUGCACGAAAGCGUGGGGAGCAAACAGGAUUAGAUACCCCGGUAGUCCCAUGAU
Molecule: ribosomal RNA, 475 nt
Filed under: uncultured organism
Description: partial 16S ribosomal RNA
Rfam family: Bacterial small subunit ribosomal RNA
Source: RNAcentral